UGCCGAGCGGAGCUGACGCCCGGGCGAGCGCGGCGGGUUCGGGGCCCGGCUUCGGUCCCUGGGGCGGGCUCCUCCAGCCCUACGCCCCGGCCGGCGCGGCCUUGGGAGGGCGCUGCUGGGGCGCUCUCCAGGCCGGCGGGGGCGGAGCCUGGGCCGCCCCCUGCCGGCUUUGCCUGGCCGAGCAGCUCCGGGAGCGCAGCCGGCUUGCAGGACCAGCAGCAGCAGCAGCAGCAGCAGCAGGUGCGCUUCUGCCGCUGCGGCGUCCCAUGAUGUGCCUGGAGAGCGACGGCGCGGCGGGCGGCGGCCCUCCCGGCUGCGGCGGCCGGUUCCGCGUGCCGGCGGCCGGCGACGACGAGGAGGAGGACGACGGCGGAGGAGGAGGCGGCGGAGGAGGAGGGGGGGACCGCGGCUGCUGCGGCCGGGGCGGCGAGGUGCAGACCCUCUCCGGCGCCGUCCGUGCGCCCAAGGCGGCCCCGGCGGCGGCGCCCAGCCUGGGCAGAGCGCGCGUGGCCGCGGCCGGCAUCCUCAGCGUGGGCAACGUGCUCAACUACCUGGACAGGUACACGGUGGCAGGGGUCUUACUGGACAUCCAGCAACACUUUGGAGUCAAAGACAGCGGAGCCGGCUUGUUGCAAACGGUUUUCAUCUGUAGUUUCAUGGUGGCAGCACCAAUAUUUGGUUACCUUGGUGACCGUUUCAACCGGAAGAUUAUUCUGAGCUGCGGGAUCUUUUUCUGGUCUGCAAUCACUUUUUCCAGCUCCUUCAUCACAGAGCAGUAUUUCUGGCUCUUCGUCCUCUCGCGAGGCUUGGUUGGAAUUGGCGAAGCCAGUUACUCUACCAUCGCCCCCACCAUCAUUGGAGACCUCUUUACCAAAAACACCCGGACGCUGAUGCUCUCCGUCUUCUAUUUCGCAAUCCCCCUGGGCAGCGGUUUAGGGUAUAUCACCGGAUCAAGUGUCAAGCAAGUAGCUGGCGACUGGCACUGGGCCCUGCGGGUCUCUCCACUUUUAGGAAUGAUCACGGGGACUCUCAUCUUGAUAUUUGUUCCUGCUGCUAAGAGAGGCAACGCUGAACAACUGGGGGCACAGCUGAAGGCUCGAACCUCCUGGCUGAGAGACAUGAAGGCCCUGAUAAGAAAUCGCAGCUAUGUGUUCUCCUCCCUGGCUACCUCGGCUGUCUCGUUUGCCACGGGGGCUCUGGGAAUGUGGAUCCCCCUCUACCUCCACCGAGCACAGGUGGUCCAAAAAACAGCAGAGACGUGCACAUCGCAGCCCUGUGGGACCAAGGACAGUUUGAUUUUUGGAGCCAUCACCUGCUUCACCGGUUUCCUGGGUGUGAUCACCGGGGCCGGGGCUACCAAGUGGUGCCGGUUGAAAACUCAGCGUGCGGACCCUCUUGUGUGUGCCGUGGGAAUGCUGGGAUCAGCCAUCUUCACCUGCCUAAUCUUCGUUGCAGCCAAGAGCAGCAUUGUGGGAGCCUACGUCUGCAUUUUCAUCGGUGAAACUCUCCUCUUCUCCAACUGGGCCAUUACAGCAGACAUACUGAUGUAUGUGGUCAUCCCGACACGCCGGGCUACAGCUGUGGCUUUGCAAAGUUUUACAUCGCACCUUCUGGGAGACGCAGGAAGUCCCUACCUGAUUGGAUUUAUCUCCGACUUGAUACGCCAGAGCACAAAGGAGUCCCCGCUCUGGGAAUUCCUCAGCUUAGGCUACGCUCUCAUGCUGUGCCCUUUUGUUGUCGUCCUGGGGGGGAUGUUUUUCCUAGCCACGGCCCUCUUCUUCCUAAGCGAUCGAGCCAAAGCUGAACAACAUGCUGAAACUGAUUUGGAUCACCUCCCUGUUGGCAACUCCAGUAACUCGGAAGAUUCUACCGCAUAAUAGCCACAAGAGCUUUUUAGGGGGUAAAUCAACUCAUGAUGCCUACAGCUUCUGUGAAAGUCUAAGGCGCUGCCAUCUCAGACGAUGAAGGAGACCUUUUGUGAUCUCUGGCUGCCGCAAGACGUCAAAAUGGCCACCUGCGUGGCGGCCUCCCACCCUCCCCUCCAGCCUCUCUGUAGUUGGAGCCAAAGGAAAAUUCAGAUGCGGACUGUAUUGGCUGUGGCUACGUCAACGGUGCAUGUGGACACACUUAAUCUACAUCAGCGAAGGAUCAUCCUCACCCGUGCCCAGAGGGACCCUUCUGGCUUGAGUUGUCCCCUCACCUCGAAGGUUGUGGUACAGCUGUCCUUUCAGCCAAUUGCUAUCCUUGCCUUGUUCAUUGAGACGAAUCUCCAUCGUAUUUAAAACCCGGAUGCCUUCGCCAGCAAUCCCAUUUCCAGCCAGAGACGUUAUCCCAGCGGGAGAAGCAAGUGUUGGCCAAGUACACGUUUGCUAUUCAGUCGUCUCGUAGGAGACUCUCUUCCCCUCCUUGCAGAAGGCUAAAGAGAGGGGACUAGAUGGACUUUUUUUCUUUUUAAAUUAAAUUUUAUCUGCAUUAAGAGUUUACUGCUGGAACUACCUCGGGCCAGCAGCAAUUUUAUGUCAAAUUUCCAGUCGGAAAUCCAGGAGUAAAUUUAAUAUUUGUGGGUAAGGGGGGAGGCUUGAGGGAAAAUAAUACAUCAGGUAGCGUGAACGGUUCUCCACGCUAAUGCUACCGGUCCCACAAGGCAGAAAGAGUUGGAUAGAGGGACCGUUUCUCAGAGGCAACAUCCUCCCCAUUCUGCUCAGUGCAAAGGAUUGUGAAAAAGCUGCUACAGUUUUGCCAGCCUUGGGGUGGGGUGUGGGGGGGGGGAGAAGGGGGGCUAAGCAGAGAGGAACGGGGGCCUUAACAUUUUGUAUUUACUUUUGGAAUAUGCCGCUGAAGUUUACACUGCAGGAGUAUGAUUGCUGGCUGCUGUUUGCAAACAGCCAUGCGAUCAAGUUUUGGUGAAGGCCAGCUGGUCUGAGACCCACCCUCCGAUACCCAUCCUUCAGUUUCCACCGCUCAGUUCUGUGCUACAGUCCCUGUUCCAUGGAGGCUGUAGGAAGAGAGGAAGACAACAAGCGACAAACUUCCAUCUAAAGGAAGAAUUCAGCAGGCUGUUCCUGAUCUCGUUCGGCCAAGUGGUGAAGAUUACGGGGUUAACAGUCCCAAAUUCUACACAGUGGGAGUUUGGAUGGAUUUUGUUACAGAUCUCUCUCUCUCAUAUUCAGGUUUCAGCCACUUGCCUGGAUUAGGGGCUGUGGCUAUCCGACAUAGACUCUUGAUUUGCAUGCAGAAAGGCCUGGAUUCACUUGCCAGAUAGAGAAUUGCAGACAGCAGGUACUGAGAAAGAUCUUUCUUUGUGAUCUAGGAACGCUGCCGCCAGGCAGUGUAGACAGACCUGAAUUAGACCUGAAUUCCAGCUUGGUGCAAAGGACGUCUUUUUAUAUGUUCGACUAAUUCGUUUCGGCCAGUUGUUCCUGGGAGCAUUUCCUAAUAUUCUCAAACAACAGGCGGGCUGAUUUGCAAAGCGAUUCUCCUCCAGCUGCGUGGGACCAAGCCCUGUGCUGAAUCACUGCUAAACGAAACCUACCGAUUCAACCCACGUGGCGAAUAGAGUUCAGCGCGAAACCCUUCUAAGUAACUUAAGCACCUUUUGGAGGUCUUUCCUGUCCCAUUUUUAUUGGUGCUACCGUUGCGAGGGAAACUGCCAUCCAGAAGAGCGCUAAUAAAUGCAAAACUUGACCUAAAGUAAUAUCGCUAUUUAACUGUCCAGUGUUGAGGCAGUGGGAACUUGAUGGCAAACCUCUGCGCUGCAGUGAACGCUUCAUCAGACAAAAAUGGGGGGGGGGGGAAUCAGAUGUGCAGACUUUAAACACUGCAGAAAUGCAGCCAGGAGUUGGAAAAUAUUGGUGUUCCUAUCUGAACCUCAGCCACAAAAGAGCAUCAGGAGAACGAAUGAUUAUAGUAUAAACAAACAUCUCAAAGGGUAUCCCUGCAACCUGGGAAGAUAAUGCUUCCCCCCGCCCCCUUUCCCAUCUUUUCCCCAUCCCAUAAUUAUUGGAUUUGUCACUUGCUGUGCCGUUUCCACUUAACCGCUUUGACAACAUGAAAGAUUGGGGGAGCGUUAAUAUAUGUUUUUCUUGUUAUACAAGGCAGGACUCGAUUGUUUUCUGAUUUCUUUCAGAAGAAUAUCUAUAUAUAUAUAUAUUCAAAUGGCUAUUUUAUUUUUUAAGAGCAAUGAAACGGAUGGUGAAUUUCAGAGUAUAAAGAAAAAAAUAGUCCAAUAUAUAUACUUAUUAUAUAUUAAAAAUAUAGACAUGUUUAUGUAAAUUAAGAAAUAAAAAAAUAUUUAAACACAACCCUUGCCUUCCCUGUCUUUUUUUUUCAUUCGCUGUCCUGCUGUUGCCACCACUUAAAAGGUGUCUGG
Sphaerodactylus townsendi is the source of this 4369-nucleotide RNA transcript. It is a transcript of the gene named protein spinster homolog 2-like, with no coding region annotated. The transcript is spliced from 14 exons. NCBI's taxonomy places the organism in Eukaryota, Metazoa, Chordata, Lepidosauria, Squamata, Sphaerodactylidae. The record is from RefSeq and is a predicted model, not a curated record.